Molecule: ribosomal RNA, 730 nt
Filed under: uncultured bacterium
Lineage: Bacteria
Description: bacterial SSU rRNA
Rfam family: Bacterial small subunit ribosomal RNA
Source: RNAcentral
AACAGGAUUAGAUACCCUGGUAGUCCACGCCGUAAACGAUGUCGACUUGGAGGUUGUUCCCUUGAGGAGUGGCUUCCGGAGCUAACGCGUUAAGUCGACCGCCUGGGGAGUACGGCCGCAAGGUUAAAACUCAAAUGAAUUGACGGGGGCCCGCACAAGCGGUGGAGCAUGUGGUUUAAUUCGAUGCAACGCGAAGAACCUUACCUACUCUUGACAUCCAGCGAACUUAGCAGAGAUGCUUUGGUGCCUUCGGGAACGCUGAGACAGGUGCUGCAUGGCUGUCGUCAGCUCGUGUUGUGAAAUGUUGGGUUAAGUCCCGCAACGAGCGCAACCCUUAUCCUUUGUUGCCAGCGAUUCGGUCGGGAACUCAAAGGAGACUGCCGGUGAUAAACCGGAGGAAGGUGGGGAUGACGUCAAGUCAUCAUGGCCCUUACGAGUAGGGCUACACACGUGCUACAAUGGCGCAUACAAAGAGAAGCGACCUCGCGAGAGCAAGCGGACCUCACAAAGUGCGUCGUAGUCCGGAUCGGAGUCUGCAACUCGACUCCGUGAAGUCGGAAUCGCUAGUAAUCGUGGAUCAGAAUGCCACGGUGAAUACGUUCCCGGGCCUUGUACACACCGCCCGUCACACCAUGGGAGUGGGUUGCAGAAGAAGUAGGUAGCUUAACCUUCGGGAGGGCGCUUACCACUUUGUGAUUCAUGACUGGGGUGAAGUCGUAACAAGGUAACC